UUAAGUUAUUAAGGGCGCACGGUGGAUGCCUUGGCACUAGAAGCCGAUGAAGGACGUUACUAACGACGAUAUGCUUUGGGGAGCUGUAAGUAAGCUUUGAUCCAGAGAUUUCCGAAUGGGGAAACCCAGCAUGAGUUAUGUCAUGUUAUCGAUAUGUGAAUACAUAGCAUAUCAGAAGGCACACCCGGAGAACUGAAACAUCUUAGUACCCGGAGGAAGAGAAAGAAAAUUCGAUUCCCUUAGUAGCGGCGAGCGAAACGGGAAGAGCCCAAACCAACAAGCUUGCUUGUUGGGGUUGUAGGACACUCUAUACGGAGUUACAAAGGACGACAUUAGACGAAUCAUCUGGAAAGAUGAAUCAAAGAAGGUAAUAAUCCUGUAGUCGAAAAUGUUGUCUCUCUUGAGUGGAUCCUGAGUACGACGGAGCACGUGAAAUUCCGUCGGAAUCUGGGAGGACCAUCUCCUAAGGCUAAAUACUCUCUAGUGACCGAUAGUGAACCAGUACCGUGAGGGAAAGGUGAAAAGCACCCCGGAAGGGGAGUGAAAUAGAACCUGAAACCGUGUGCUUACAAGUAGUCAGAGCCCGUUAAUGGGUGAUGGCGUGCCUUUUGUAGAAUGAACCGGCGAGUUACGAUUUGAUGCAAGGUUAAGCAGUAAAUGUGGAGCCGUAGCGAAAGCGAGUCUGAAUAGGGCGUUUAGUAUUUGGUCGUAGACCCGAAACCAGGUGAUCUACCCUUGGUCAGGUUGAAGUUCAGGUAACACUGAAUGGAGGACCGAACCGACUUACGUUGAAAAGUGAGCGGAUGAACUGAGGGUAGCGGAGAAAUUCCAAUCGAACCUGGAGAUAGCUGGUUCUCUCCGAAAUAGCUUUAGGGCUAGCCUCAAGUGAUGAUUAUUGGAGGUAGAGCACUGUUUGGACGAGGGGCCCCUCUCGGGUUACCGAAUUCAGACAAACUCCGAAUGCCAAUUAAUUUAACUUGGGAGUCAGAACAUGGGUGAUAAGGUCCGUGUUCGAAAGGGAAACAGCCCAGACCACCAGCUAAGGUCCCAAAAUAUAUGUUAAGUGGAAAAGGAUGUGGCGUUGCCCAGACAACUAGGAUGUUGGCUUAGAAGCAGCCAUCAUUUAAAGAGUGCGUAAUAGCUCACUAGUCGAGUGACACUGCGCCGAAAAUGUACCGGGGCUAAACAUAUUACCGAAGCUGUGGAUUGUCCUUUGGACAAUGGUAGGAGAGCGUUCUAAGGGCGUUGAAGCAUGAUCGUAAGGACAUGUGGAGCGCUUAGAAGUGAGAAUGCCGGUGUGAGUAGCGAAAGACGGGUGAGAAUCCCGUCCACCGAUUGACUAAGGUUUCCAGAGGAAGGCUCGUCCGCUCUGGGUUAGUCGGGUCCUAAGCUGAGGCCGACAGGCGUAGGCGAUGGAUAACAGGUUGAUAUUCCUGUACCACCUAUAAUCGUUUUAAUCGAUGGGGGGACGCAGUAGGAUAGGCGAAGCGUGCGAUUGGAUUGCACGUCUAAGCAGUAAGGCUGAGUAUUAGGCAAAUCCGGUACUCGUUAAGGCUGAGCUGUGAUGGGGAGAAGACAUUGAGUCUUCGAGUCGUUGAUUUCACACUGCCGAGAAAAGCCUCUAGAUAGAAAAUAGGUGCCCGUACCGCAAACCGACACAGGUAGUCAAGAUGAGAAUUCUAAGGUGAGCGAGCGAACUCUCGUUAAGGAACUCGGCAAAAUGACCCCGUAACUUCGGGAGAAGGGGUGCUCUUUAGGGUUAACGCCCAGAAGAGCCGCAGUGAAUAGGCCCAAGCGACUGUUUAUCAAAAACACAGGUCUCUGCUAAACCGUAAGGUGAUGUAUAGGGGCUGACGCCUGCCCGGUGCUGGAAGGUUAAGAGGAGUGGUUAGCUUCUGCGAAGCUACGAAUCGAAGCCCCAGUAAACGGCGGCCGUAACUAUAACGGUCCUAAGGUAGCGAAAUUCCUUGUCGGGUAAGUUCCGACCCGCACGAAAGGCGUAACGAUUUGGGCACUGUCUCAACGAGAGACUCGGUGAAAUCAUAGUACCUGUGAAGAUGCAGGUUGCCCGCGACAGGACGGAAAGACCCCGUGGAGCUUUACUGUAGCCUGAUAUUGAAAUUCGGCACAGCUUGUACAGGAUAGGUAGGAGCCUUUGAAACGUGAGCGCUAGCUUACGUGGAGGCGCUGGUGGGAUACUACCCUAGCUGUGUUGGCUUUCUAACCCGCACCACUUAUCGUGGUGGGAGACAGUGUCAAGCGGGCAGUUUGACUGGGGCGGUCGCCUCCUAAAAGGUAACGGAGGCGCUCAAAGGUUCCCUCAGAAUGGUUGGAAAUCAUUCAUAGAGUGUAAAGGCAUAAGGGAGCUUGACUGCGAGACCUACAAGUCGAGCAGGGUCGAAAGACGGACUUAGUGAUCCGGUGGUUCCGCAUGGAAGGGCCAUCGCUCAACGGAUAAAAGCUACCCCGGGGAUAACAGGCUUAUCUCCCCCAAGAGUUCACAUCGACGGGGAGGUUUGGCACCUCGAUGUCGGCUCAUCGCAUCCUGGGGCUGUAGUCGGUCCCAAGGGUUGGGCUGUUCGCCCAUUAAAGCGGUACGCGAGCUGGGUUCAGAACGUCGUGAGACAGUUCGGUCCCUAUCCGUCGUGGGCGUAGGAAAUUUGAGAGGAGCUGUCCUUAGUACGAGAGGACCGGGAUGGACAUACCUCUGGUGUACCAGUUGUCGUGCCAACGGCAUAGCUGGGUAGCUAUGUGUGGACGGGAUAAGUGCUGAAAGCAUCUAAGCAUGAAGCCCCCCUCAAGAUGAGAUUUCCCAACUUCGGUUAUAAGAUCCCUCAAAGAUGAUGAGGUUAAUAGGUUCGAGGUGGAAGCAUGGUGACAUGUGGAGCUGACGAAUACUAAUCGAUCGAAGACUUAAUCAA
This 2921-nucleotide ribosomal RNA is filed under the name Staphylococcus aureus DAR3565. RNAcentral's name for it is "bacterial LSU rRNA". It matches the Rfam family "Bacterial large subunit ribosomal RNA". The record is from RNAcentral. Lineage: Bacteria; Bacillati; Bacillota; Bacilli; Caryophanales; Staphylococcaceae.